Sinocyclocheilus anshuiensis is the source of this 491-nucleotide non-coding RNA. The record is from the annotation of a RefSeq genome assembly. NCBI's taxonomy places the organism in Eukaryota, Metazoa, Chordata, Actinopteri, Cypriniformes, Cyprinidae.
CUUCAGCAGAAGAGCUCAAGAGGUUCCAUCUCAGUUUAGUUCUUGACUCUCAAAGUCAUUGUCUCUCAUUAGUGCAGAUGUUGCUCCUCACAUUCAUUAUAUUUUCUCUCCUAAAAGAGAAUGCUGGUGAAGAUGUCAUAAAACCAGUCUUCACAGAGAAGCAGGUUUUGGAAGGAAAAGAUGUUACACUGAUCUGCAACUACACUGAAGCUGUUCACAAUUUACAGUGGUAUCGUCAGUAUCCCGGAUCCAAACCUGAGCACCUCAUUUUAUUCUUUGAAACCAACCCUAAAUCAGAGCCCGCUCUUCGUCUGACCGCUGCAGCUGAUAAAGCAGCCAAAAGUAUGAAUUUGACAAUCUCUUCAACAGAAGUGAAAGACUCUGCCGUGUACUACUGUGCCCUGCAGCCCACAGUGACAGGAAACACAACUACACUGUACAAAAACAGAAUGGGAUCUUCCGCAUGGAAGAAGCAUUUCAUGGAUGAAUGA